This 74-nucleotide transfer RNA is filed under the name Chondrocystis sp. NIES-4102. RNAcentral describes it as "tRNA-Ala". It matches the Rfam family "tRNA". From Rfam's summary of the family: Transfer RNA (tRNA) molecules are approximately 80 nucleotides in length. The record is from RNAcentral. Lineage: Bacteria; Bacillati; Cyanobacteriota; Cyanophyceae; Chroococcales; Chroococcaceae.
GGGGCAUUAGCUCAGUUGGUAGAGUGCUUGCAUGGCAUGCAAGAUGUCAGCGGUUCAAGUCCGCUAUGCUCCAC